AGAUUUUUUUGGAUUAAAACUGAGAUUUGUUAUUGACGAGUGUCAUGAUAAGACCAAGGCAGAGUUAAUACAGCACCUAAAGCGUGUGAAGAAAAAAGUUAACAAACGGUAUUACUGCUUCAUUUGCGUCAUCAUGGUUCACGGAAAUGAAACCGGAAUUGCUACUUGUGAUGACCCCAUUCAUCCUAAUGAAAUAAAAGCAAUGUUUGAUAACACAAGGAUGGCCAAAUAUGCAGGUAAGCCAAAACUAUUUUUGAUUAAUGCGUGUCGUGUGGAGACAUCAUCUCAGCCACAAACGAACCCGGAUGGCUCCCCAGUUGAACAUGAUCCAUCGCAAUAUUUGUUUGAAGCCGGC
Molecule: long non-coding RNA, 355 nt
Organism: Dreissena polymorpha
Lineage: Eukaryota; Metazoa; Mollusca; Bivalvia; Myida; Dreissenidae
Exons: 3
Source: RefSeq, a predicted model, not a curated record